GACGAACGCUGGCGGCGUGCUUAACACAUGCAAGUCGAACGGAAAGGCCCUGCGUUUGUGGGGUGCCCGAUUGGCGAACGCGUGCGUAACAGGUGAGUAACCGACCCUUGACUUUGGGAUAACUUCAGGAAACUGGGGCUAAUACCGUAUAGGAGCUCCUGCUGCAUUGUGGGGGUUGGAAAGUUUAGGCGGUUGGGGAUGGACUCGCGGCUGAUCGGCUUGUUGGUCGGGUAGUGGCUUACCCAGGCUUUGACUGGUAGCCGGCCUGAGAGGGUGACCGGCCACCUGGGGACUGAGGUACGGCCCAGAGUCCUACGGGAGGCAGCAGUGGGGAAUAUUGCACAAUGGUCGGAAGCCUGAGGCAGCAACGCCGCGUGCGGAAUGACGGCUUUCUGGUUAUAAACCGCUGUAGGCUGUGACGAAGCGUGAGUGACGGUAAUGGGUAAAGAAGCACCGGCUAACUACGUG
This 468-nucleotide ribosomal RNA is filed under the name uncultured bacterium. RNAcentral's name for it is "partial 16S ribosomal RNA". It matches the Rfam family "Bacterial small subunit ribosomal RNA", at positions 28 to 507 of the family's 1533-position model. The record is from RNAcentral.